AGUGUUAAAAAACAUGCCAAGCAUUGAAGGAAAUGUUCAAAGCAACUCAGGUUGACCAUCACCGCGUCGGAGGUUGCCUCUGGCAGCGGUGGUGCCAGAAAAUGAAAUCCCAAACAUCAUCAAAAGCGCAUUGCAACUCUGCUCAAGAAUAUGGAAGUGGAUUCUGUAUAUUCUCACUAAGGAGCUUGAAUCGAAGAAGAGUAGGUCAAGAACUCUAGGUACUUAGAGUUUAAUUAAAUGGCAAAUAUGAGGAAUUAAGCCCCAAGACCUUAGGGCUUUGAUUCCUCUAGUCAUGGCCUACAUCAUGGUAACUAGAAAUUGAAGAAAAGGUGAAGAUUAAAGGCUACCUCUUCGGAGAAGAUGACCGAAAAAUGCCUCAGGUGAGUUCUUCCUUCCCUCUCUUUGUCUUUUCUGCUUCGAAUCCCCCUUCCUCUUUGUUCUCCCUUAUGAAUUCUCAAGUUUGAGAAAACAUUCGAUUGGAUGGAGCUAAAUGUGAGGUUCUGGUGAAGAUGAACGGAGGUUCUCUGACGAAGAUGAAUGAGACGUGUUGAGGAACUCAGGGUGAGUGAUUCAGAGAUUCAGGGAAGACAAAGCCCUGCGAUGAAAGGUGGUUGAGAGAGUUAAAUCAAUUUUUCUGAUUUGUGAGAGAAUGUGAUUCAAUUAUUGAACUCUGGUAGAAUGAUUGUUAGUCCCUGAUUGAGGUGAUGAUUCAUUUAUAUAGGUUGUUAAGAUGGCUGGGGAUUGGAGAAUUCAGUUGGAGAAGUUUGUAGCAAUUUCUAAAAUCGAGGCAAAGAGUUAGAUUUUGUUAUGAGUUUUGUUGCUGACUUUGAUGCAUUACAGUUGGCAUGGGUCUGAUGCAAGUAUGAUGCAAGGUUUGUGAGGUUUGUGUUGCAUGAGUUCAUUGUUUGGCAUAGGACUGGACUGCUGCAGGUUCAUGGUUGGAAGGUAUGAUGAACUUAGUGCAGGCCUGUUUGCAUCAUGUUUCUGCAUGUCUAAUUUUCAUGUUUUGUGGCUUGGCAUGUUAUCCAAUUGGUUUUAUUGCAUGUUCAUUUGUGACGCAGGCAAGGUGUUUGUUUCAAGUUCAGGUUUUGGCAUCUGACUUGGUAUGCAUGACUACAGGGUUUUGGAUAGUGUAGGCAUGGUUAUUCUUGUAGGUGAGGCAUGGUUGUUCAUGGCUUUAAUGUUGCAAACAUGAGUGGUGUGGAAUUUGGUGAUGGUGGUUUGUUGCAAUCUUACUCAAUGGCAAGGUUUAGCAUGGUUAUUGCUUGGUCUGGCUGCCAAGCUGCAUGUUCAUGACCUGAUCCAUUUGCAGAUUCAUUUGCUUGUCUGACCUAGUUGGUCUUAGUCAUGGACAUGGACAUGGACCAAGUUACUUGGUAAAGAAGAAAUCACGGGCAAGCAUGGAUGGAAAUAGGUCUUAGGGGGUCAAGGGAGGGUCAGUUGACUUCGUUCAACCGGUUGACCAAAAAGUCAACUUUUAGCCAAAAGUCAAUUGUUGUAGUUUUUCGCCAAAUUUGCAUUUUUUGCAUGUUAUGGACAUUCUUGUAAUGAAAUAAACAAAUUAUGAAUGUAAAUGAUAUUUGUUUUAAA
Molecule: long non-coding RNA, 1590 nt
Organism: Lathyrus oleraceus (garden pea)
Lineage: Eukaryota; Viridiplantae; Streptophyta; Magnoliopsida; Fabales; Fabaceae
Exons: 2
Source: RefSeq, a predicted model, not a curated record